AUACUCUGGUUUAUCUUCAGAUCGUAUAAAUCUUUCGCCUUUUAGUAAAGAUUUCCGUGGAAAAUACCUUCUCCCAUUCCAUUGGUGGCCUUUUAGUUUUGUUUUUUCCUACACUA
Molecule: small nuclear RNA, 116 nt
Gene: U5
Rfam family: U5 spliceosomal RNA
About the family: U5 RNA is a component of both types of known spliceosome.
Source: Ensembl